Meleagris gallopavo (turkey) is the source of this 6730-nucleotide non-coding RNA. NCBI's taxonomy places the organism in Eukaryota, Metazoa, Chordata, Aves, Galliformes, Phasianidae. The record is from RefSeq and is a predicted model, not a curated record.
CUGGCUGCACCUCUCCUAGAGCCAUUGGAGAGCUGACUGCCAGUGGGGAAGGAUCUCUGCUGGAGAUCCGCUCUGUUGGAGUUCAUCUCACGAGCCCAGGAUAGGAUAUUUGCAAGGGGUACAGAAAACUGUUCAGGAAUAUGCUUCUGUCAGGUUGUAUAAGAUGAUUAUCGCGUGGCGUGCUUAUUUUUAUUCCCUCUAUAAUCUACAUGGAAGAUCUGAUCUCUGCAAGUGAAAAGCUGGGACAUCAAUCUGCCUUUGAAAUUCGGCAUCGUGUUCAGCGUAGAGCUUCCUUCUGUGUGCUUAGCUGUUCAGUCAGAGCCCCAAACUCUGUUUUUCACUAAUGCUUUGUCGGAGAGCUGUCCUCUUCAGAGAGAUUGAAAUGAGUAAUAGUCUUUCGACACUAUUGGCAAGUGGCUUUCACGGUCCAUGGCAGAUCUAAUGAACUACAGCUGCCUGGUUGGAAAAUCCUGCCUUUGAUUGCCUGAAAGGAGACUUCUGAAGUCUCUGCUUGGAUUCACUGACUUUCUUAGGAUUUUCUUUUUCUUAAGAAGAGGACAGGGAAAACGUUCUCCUUCGUAAUCUAACAUUCACAGAUCUCAAUUUAAGGUCAUGGUGAUGCUGCACAGUAAAAAAUUUCAGGACUGACAUGCAGCAUAGACAUGCUUGGAAAUGUAAAUACAGAGGAGCGUGCCCAGCUGUGGAAAAUGUGUGUAAGCCAGCUUCCAUGCUCAACAGGUCCGCCACCAGCAGAGACUGCAAACCUCUUUUCCUCAGGGAGGGAUUCCAGCAGGAGCUGUUCUGUCAGCCAAGGUUCAUCUCCACUUUCCAUUUUGUUGCUGUUCACACAACUCCUACUCAUUUUGAUUUGUCUCCUCCUUGAGGGAGCCACUGUCCUGCUUCAGAGCCAAACUCACGGGCAGGAGAUAGAAAAGGAACUACUUCUCUCCUCAGGCUUCCUCCUCCAUUGCUGCCCCCCUGAACUUCUGCUGCAGCCCCAGGGCCUCCAGCCUGCCAGAGCUGCCAGAGGAUCCCUGCAGAAGGGUCAGGUUCUGCCUUGCAGACAGUGUCUCUUGGAGUUCUGCUGCUUAUCUGGAAGUAGAAACCCAGGAUUUUGUAGUUCCAUUGUUAAAAACAGGACGUCAGUGGAACUUGGUGGGGACAUGAACUUGUCAGCAGAGAUGCGCAUUCGUUCUGUGUUAAGGCACGGGUCAGUAGGAGUCCUAGCACUGAAGUGGUGGGGCUGACUCAAGCGUGAUUAACUUCAGUAUGUUUUGGUGAUAAGGGUGUUUGUGCUAUGCUAUUGCUAUUUUCUGGGUAAAAUUUGUGAAAGUUGUGAUUCUCACCUUUCUGAUUUCCUCUCGGAGAAAGAUGCUUUUUUCUCAUCUCCCCUUUCUUCCCGUCAUUUCUUUUCUGCCAGGCAGUUAUCCGCAAGGAAGCUGAGCCCUAAAAUGCUUUUACUCACACACGUCUCAGGAGCUCAUGUGCCAAACUGGUGAAUGUGCUUGCUGGCUGGAGCAGAAUGGAGGUACCUGAAGAGAGCAAUGAGAAGCCAGUAGUGUCCUCGGUGCUAUGACCUGCGCCGGGAGAAGGAAGCUUAUCUAUUUCCAAGGGAAGAAACGUUCGUGUAAGAAUAAAAUUACAGUUCAGUUUAUGUUUUCUGCAGAUUUGCUUCCUUGUCAGACUGAAAAGAGGCAACAGACCAGAUUUGGACAUGUAGGUUACAGCUCUGUGCACUGGCUCUGGGACACCAGUUACAUGUGGUGCUGUGCAGGAGCACAAACACGAGCCCUUGGGUAGCUGGGUGCCGUCAGCUCAGCCUCAUAUCCUGCUGACAAUCAGAGCCUCGAACGCUUGAUUGCCACAACGACUUGGUUCUGUGGGCUAUGAGGAGCUGGGUUUAGUGGUCCAUUUACAAGACCAUUUAGAUAUGUCACAACAUUCUCUCAGAGAAGAAAACUGAAGUAACACACAGAGGACACUCUGGAUUUUCCUCUAUUUUAGUGACCUGUUUAUCCUUUUUACCUAUGGAAGGGAUGGAUUUAUUGUAGGGUAACCAGUUGAGUAUAGAAGCCUGUCUGCUGACUGGAGCUAAGCUGACAGCUGUCAUUGCCUACUUUGGAAAAAUGUUGUUUUUCUUUGGAAAGUGCCCUCCAGCCCUUAUUUAGAGAUUUACUUAAUGUGGGCUGUCCUAUGGGUUAACAUCUGUGGAAUCUGUAUUUCCCUGGCAGUUGCAUCUCCCUUGGAUGUAAAAUUACAGAUGCUCACCAAUGCCCUGUUUUUGUUCGUUUUGUUUUGCUUUUUAAGAAGGGAAAAGAAACAAACCACUUAAAAUAAGCAAAUAAAAAAGCUCCCACUGAACAGUUAUACUAAAAGAAUAGUGCUACGUGUGUCUCCCCUCUCCACCUCUCACUUAAUCUUUUGCAACCAUCUCCUACUUCCUUGCUGCUGUGGGAUCAAUUUGUUGGCAAGGGUUAUUCAAACAUUAGCAGAAUGCAUGUUCUUACUGUUCUUGUUGGACGUGGUGUCGAAGCCAACAAUAACAACUCUCGUGUGGGAACUAAUGCUGGGUAUUUGAGUCAAGCUGUUCUUGGUGGUCUGUACUUUACUGCAGUGAAAAAAAAAUGCAAGAGGUUUCUUUUCCCAUAGUAUUCGUCUGUGUUCCUGUUGUUCGUUGUUUGUGGGAUCGCAGUGCCCACGGACCACUGAACCGAGUACUUCCAUUGGAUUCUGUGGCUUCCUCCACUUUCAGUCCCUGCUCAGUGUGUGCCUUUUGGAGGUGUGGGAUGUUGGUGUCACCUCUCCAUCCACCGGUUAUUGUCAAUAUGUCUCUUUGAGCUGACAGCUGACUGUGGGGACACUUGCUAGGACUGAUAAAUUUUCACUGCGGUCACAGGGCCCUUUGGAGGGCCCCGGCUGUGGGUUGGGUGCACAGCACUGAGCUGUGCUGAGGCCAAAGAUGCUGCAUGGUGUGAGCAUGGACCUCCUCUCACCAAAUCGGACCGUGCUCUCCUAGGCAAAUGCAGGGCUGGUGUGGCAGCUGGCGCUGUGCUUUGUGACAGCAGCCCACGUCUUCAGCAACCACCACAAAUUCCUCACUGGUUGUGCUUUGUUGCUGAAGUGAGAAUCCACAGCACGGGGACAUUUGGGGGAGCGGAAUGGUUUGAAGCUUUCUGCAGUGCUUCCUGUUACCCUCAGGGCACUCUCUGAAGAAAAUCACCUCUUUAUACCGUCUCUUGGAUGUGCAGCAGUCCCAGAUCAGGCAUUUCUUUAUUAAAUAAAAGGUACCAUAAGCCUAAAAGCAUUGAAAUCGGUAUUUUGAAUCCCUAGAGACCAAUCCCAGUGUGUAUCUUAUUUGGGCUAAUUUACUGAACUAGUUUGUUUCUUCUCCUGCAUAACAACCACUCCACCCACGGCAGUAUUGAAGUUGGUUUUGUCUCUGUAGCUGCCAGGAAUAACUUUACUUUGCAUGGAUAAUUAACUGGAUUGAGUAACAGGAAAAAAAAAAAGAAGGAAAAAAAAAGAGAAGAAGAAGAAGAAAAAAGCCAUUUUAUUCCCAAACUGUGGUAAUAAUAAAUCUGUUACUACUUUUGGCUCUCCCUGUUAUGACCAUAGUUGGGUAGGUCUUAAUGAGGAAGUGGCUUCCUUUUCCGGAGCUCAGAUACCAGCCAGGAGCCUGCAUCCCCAGCAUGGGUGUGGGCUGGGGGGAGCAGAAGGGCAGAAGGUGGCUGUUCUGUUGUGUUUGUCAUUAUUUUAAACUAAGCAGGAAUUCCUGCUCACAAGUAACGUUUAUCAUUAUUUUUUCCUGCAAGCUGUACACUUCCUAUCUUUGAGACGAGGUAAAAAAUGGAAUUUCUGAUCAUGUUAGAAUCAAUGAUUUUCUGAGAGGGGAAUCUUUCAAAGUACGUUUUUCUUUGAUUUAAAAUAAAAAAAAAACCCACGAAGUAUUGAAAAUAGACUUAAUUUUGAGUUGCUUUGUAAUUCUAAAAUUGUCACUUUGAGAGAUAUUUGGAGCAUUUCUGCAGAGAGAUUUGGUUUAUUCCACUCUGAUUUCUGCACAGCUUGUCUUCUCUGCAAAGCAGUCACAAUGAGAUAAAGCUGAGGAAGGGAAUCUAAAAGACUUUAAUACUGUUUUAAAUAGUUAUGGUUGCAAAACUUGGGAAUGUGUGGAAGAAACUCCUUUGUUUUCCCCACACUGAGCAGCAGUACUGUGAUACAGCGACUGCAAGGGAGGACUGUGAGCACAACGAAACGUGGUGUUUUGAUAUCAGAAGCAUCUAAAAUUGACAGAGGUAGCUUUGGUAAUGGAAAAGUUAUGAGCGUAAGUUCUUAUUAAUAACUCCAUCUGUGUUAUUAUUCUGCCUAAAACUUGUUCCUGCUGUCCAAAGAAGGCAAAACAGGAAAAAUAUUACAUUGAUGUGAAAAAUUUAAGUCUAAUAUGUGUUUCAAACUGUCCUCUCUGUGCAUGGGAAGAAGAAAAGAUUAAAGCUGCAAUACAAUAGCCCUCCUUUAGAAAGUGAGCUGGGAGGAGGAAGUCAAUACCAAGGAAUGUUCUCACCAAAGGUAAGGAAUUGCAUCUGUGUCUUAAAUGUCACACUUACUAUUCGUUUUAGUUGAAAAAAUAACAGAAAAACAACUGUGGUAUAAAGAGAAGUAAAUCAUGGAAGCUGCAUUCUUGCUGGAUUAAGAAAGGAAACAGGGAAACUAUAUUUAAAAUGAGUGCAUGAGAAAACAAUUUGCUAGGAUUGAGAGGGCAAGGUUUGUUGUUCCUUCUAUCCAGCUUUAAACACUUGUGGUCUGAAAUGGUCAGCUGUUAUUUUGGGGAAAUAAAUCCAAAUAAAUCUGUAGACACCCCAAGCAGAAACUUGCAUCCUGCAAUACUGGGGAUGCACCACUUGUGACACGCAGAAAUCCAUCUGAACUCUGAUGCUGCUAAGGGUGGUACUGCAGGACGCCCUUUCUGCGUGAGGCUUCAGAGAAACACCUUCCGGAUCCAACGCACUCCCUUCGUGUGUCACAGUACUUCAGUUUGUUGAUGUUUUGCAGACACUGGACCAUUUCCAGGCUACGGCUCACGAGUUGUAUGUCCUCCAGUCAGUGCGGAUGACUUGUUUUGUUUUCAUGUGAAGAUUGUGGCUAUCUCAGAUGUGUAGGAUGGACGUUCUGCUGGGUGACCAACUCCCUGCCCUGGGGAAGAUAAAUCAGACAGCACAUGUACCACUGCCCAGGUCUUCUGUGGGUGGACAGAUAGUUUAGUUGUGUCGAAGUGCUUGCAGUAGAUGGAGCCGUCCCUCAGUGAGAGCUCAUCAGGACAACAGGUUGGAGCACUGACUCGUUGGGUCUGAGACGUCUUUUUUUCUUUCCUGCAUCUGUCAGUGUGUUUUACGUGCCAGUAGCUCAGCUUUACCUCCUCAUUGCUGCAAGCUGGCUGCUGAAAAGGAAGUGCUUACCUGAUGACAGUGAGAUUGUGUGGGAAAUAGACAAGCCUGGGACAACGCUGAUAGAUUGGAAGUUGUUUAUGCAAAGGUUUCUAAGGGAGCAGGACAAGUUGCUUGUAACAUAACUUUCUAAUUUAGUUUUGUUAGUUUUUAUUCUGCUUCUGGGUAUUUAAUAGCUGUGGCAUGUGUGCUGCUUUCCCAUCUGCACGGAAUAAAAGAAAUGGAAUUGUAUAGUUGCUUUCAUAUGUAGACCCCAGUUCAGUUAGUCACUUCAGGGCUAGGCAGCUGGAAUGGAGCUGUAGAUUGACCAACAUCUUGAGACCAUCUGGAAACACAGGUGAAGUCAGAACACGAUGGCCCAAUUACAUAAGAGCUGAAUUUGACGUGCCCUGGUUUUCUUCACCCAGGGCUGAAGGGAGUACUCCAUACUCUUCUUUAGAGCUUUUGAGAUCAUUUGCAUGCCCCCUUGUGUUUAACCAUCUCACCUUGGCUUGCACAGGGAAAGAGAUGGUUUUUGGAACAUGGAACAACAACAAAAAUGUCGUUGGUUUUUGGGUUUUUUUUGUCAAUGCCCUUCCAUAAUCUAACAAUACAGACUUCUUUGCCUUUUGGAGUAUCUUUAUCCAUUAGUUUCCAGGGGGGCUGCAGAGUGGUGUUAUACAAAACUCUAAAUACGAGACUUCAAUAUCAGAUAUUCGGUUUCAGACAGAAUUUGCUGAACAUCACAAUUCAGAUACGGGUGUCCUGAGAGAUCAGAAAUAAACCUGGGAAAUAAUGUCAGAAAUAAAUUAUUUUCAUAAAUGUUCAAAAAUAGCAGAAUUUGGGCCUGUGGUGAAAAUGUUUACUAUCUGGGAUUACUUUAGGUUCUUAGUUAUGGCAAAUCUGGUAAUCUGAAAAUACCUUAAAAGAGAUUGCCAAGAUUAGGAUGAACACAGGAGAGAGGUCUGUGGCUUUCAGAUUGGGCACAUGGUCAAAGGAACUGCUCCGAGGCUGGUGAAAAACAAAGAGAAGUCUGUGUGUAGGAAGCAGGGGAUGUAAGGAACUGAUCUUCACGCAGUUGGAAUCUGCUCUCAGUUUUUCAUGGCAAAGCAAGUCGGCCCUCUGUGGACUUUCUAAACCAAAUGAAUUAUGGUCUCGAAUAGUAAUGUGGUAUUGCUAAUGAUUUCAUUGCUGACCACAGCUGUUGGCAGUAAGGCUGGCUCUAUCAUUUCAUUUGAUAUAUUUUUGAAGCGCUUUGCUUAUUAAAUUAGAUGACUCCUUUUUACAUACUGUUCAAGCUAGAGCUGUCAAGU